This 253-nucleotide ribosomal RNA is filed under the name uncultured bacterium. Its description in RNAcentral is "partial 16S ribosomal RNA". It matches the Rfam family "Bacterial small subunit ribosomal RNA", at positions 524 to 776 of the family's 1533-position model. The record is from RNAcentral.
UACGUAGGGUGCAAGCGUUAAUCGGAAUUACUGGGCGUAAAGCGUGCGCAGGCGGUGAUGCAAGACAGAUGUGAAAUCCCCGGGCUUAACCUGGGAACUGCAUUUGUGACUGCAUUGCUGGAGUGCGGCAGAGGGGGAUGGAAUUCCGCGUGUAGCAGUGAAAUGCGUAGAUAUGCGGAGGAACACCGAUGGCGAAGGCAAUCCCCUGGGCCUGCACUGACGCUCAGGCACGAAAGCGUGGGGAGCAAACAGG